AUGAAGUAUUUGGGGGAACUC
RNAcentral lists this microRNA (21 nucleotides) under Medicago truncatula (barrel medic). RNAcentral's name for it is "mtr-miR395b". Its record names the gene mtr-miR395b. Lineage: Eukaryota; Viridiplantae; Streptophyta; Magnoliopsida; Fabales; Fabaceae. The record is from miRBase by way of RNAcentral.